GGGCGGUUAGCUCAGAUUGGUUAGAGCGCAGCGUUGACAUCGCUGAGGCCAUAGGUUCAACUCCUAUACCGCCCA
RNAcentral lists this transfer RNA (75 nucleotides) under Chloroflexota bacterium. RNAcentral describes it as "Chloroflexi bacterium (freshwater metagenome) tRNA-Val". It matches the Rfam family "tRNA". Rfam says of the family: Transfer RNA (tRNA) molecules are approximately 80 nucleotides in length. Their secondary structure includes four short double-helical elements and three loops (D, anti-codon, and T loops). The record is from RNAcentral. Lineage: Bacteria; Bacillati; Chloroflexota.